RNAcentral lists this ribosomal RNA (573 nucleotides) under uncultured prokaryote. Its description in RNAcentral is "bacterial SSU rRNA". It matches the Rfam family "Bacterial small subunit ribosomal RNA", at positions 589 to 1158 of the family's 1533-position model. The record is from RNAcentral.
CCCUUGACGUAAGUCUCUCAGGGCGGGCUCCUGGACGUGCAGGCGAUACGGGCUGACUUGAGUACUACAGGGGAGACUGGAAUUUCUGGUGUAGCGGUGGAAUGCACAGAUAUCAGGAAGAACACCGAUGGCGAAGGCAGGUCUCUGGGUAGUAACUGACGCUGAGGAGCGAAAGCAUGGGUAGCGAACAGGAUUAGAUACCCUGGUAGUCCAUGCCGUAAACGGUGGGCGCUAGGUGUGGGGUUCCUUCCACGGGCUCCGCGCCGUAGCUAACGCAUUAAGCGCCCCGCCUGGGGAGUACGGCCGCAAGGCUAAAACUCAAAGAAAUUGACGGGGGCCCGCACAAGCGGCGGAGCAUGUGGAUUAAUUCGAUGCAACGCGAAGAACCUUACCUGGGCUUGACAUAUAGAGGAUCGCUACAGAGAUGUGGUUUCCCUUGUGGCUUCUAUACAGGUGGUGCAUGGUUGUCGUCAGCUCGUGUCGUGAGAUGUUGGGUUAAGUCCCGCAACGAGCGCAACCCUUGUCUUAUGUUGCCAGCACGUUAUGGUGGGGACUCGUGAGAACUGCCCAAAA